Molecule: long non-coding RNA, 411 nt
Organism: Aegilops tauschii subsp. strangulata
Lineage: Eukaryota; Viridiplantae; Streptophyta; Magnoliopsida; Poales; Poaceae
Source: RefSeq, a predicted model, not a curated record
AGAUGAAGGCCGUCGAAGAUCACAAGCGCAGCUUGCUAUUGUACAGGUUUAGAAUCUAGAAAGGCUGAUGAAGGCCGUCGAAGAUCACAAGCGCAGCUUGCUAUUGUACAGGUUUAGAAUCUAGAAAGGUUGUUAAUUCCAAAUCAAUUUGGAAUCCAGUCAAAACUACUCUCAAGGACUGCUCUGAACCUCAAAUAUCGUCGUCCAAAGAAUUUGUGAUAUGUUGAUUGAUGCAACUAUGCUGUACUGUUUCAGUGACUGUUAAAAGUAGACAUAACAGAAGUCUGGCAUUUUAGGUCACGGAAGUCUGGCAUCCUUUGUACACUAAUAUGAGGCGUUUUAGGUCACGGAAGUCUGGCAUGGCUGCAUCUAUUUUGAACACGAUCUGUACACGUAGACAUAACAAAGAAA